UGCCUCUCAGGGUCACACCUGGAGAGCUCCCAGUACUCUACCAGUCUCGACUACAGGAGAGAGAGUCAGGCAGAGGCCUACCCAUUCCAUUUCUAGCUUGGCCAGUGGCUUGUGAGUGAAAGGUAAUCUGCUACAAGU
Tachyglossus aculeatus (Australian echidna) is the source of this 138-nucleotide small nucleolar RNA. Lineage: Eukaryota; Metazoa; Chordata; Mammalia; Monotremata; Tachyglossidae. The record is from RefSeq and is a predicted model, not a curated record.